AGCAGUAUGGCGCAGCGGAAGCGCGCCGGGCUCAUAACCCGGAGGUCACACGAUCGAAACGUGUUACUGCUA
Molecule: transfer RNA, 72 nt
Filed under: Trichoglossum hirsutum
Lineage: Eukaryota; Fungi; Ascomycota; Geoglossomycetes; Geoglossales; Geoglossaceae
Rfam family: tRNA
About the family: Transfer RNA (tRNA) molecules are approximately 80 nucleotides in length. Their secondary structure includes four short double-helical elements and three loops (D, anti-codon, and T loops).
Source: Rfam by way of RNAcentral